GAGUUUGAUCGUGGCUCAGGACGAACGCUGGCGGCGUGCUUAACACAUGCAAGUCGAGCGGAAAGGCCCUUCGGGGUACUCGAGCGGCGAACGGGUGAGUAACACGUGAGUAACCUGUCCUCAACUUCGGGAUAAGCCUGGGAAACUGGGUCUAAUACCGGAUAGUACUUCGGGUCGCAUGGUCUGGGGUGGAAAGUUUUUUCGGUUGGGGGUGGGCUCGCGGCCUAUCAGCUUGUUGGUGGGGUGGUGGCCUACCAAGGCUUCGACGGGUAGCCGGCCUGAGAGGGCGACCGGCCACACUGGGACUGAGACACGGCCCAGACUCCUACGGGAGGCAGCAGUGGGGAAUAUUGCGCAAUGGGCGGAAGCCUGACGCAGCGACGCCGCGUGGGGGAUGACGGCC
Molecule: ribosomal RNA, 403 nt
Filed under: uncultured Actinomycetes bacterium
Lineage: Bacteria; Bacillati; Actinomycetota; Actinomycetes
Description: bacterial SSU rRNA
Rfam family: Bacterial small subunit ribosomal RNA
Source: RNAcentral